UACGGAGGGUGCGAGCGUUGUUCGGAAUUAUUGGGCGUAAAGCGCGUGUAGGCGGUUACUUAAGUCUGAUGUGAAAGCCCUGGGCUCAACCCAGGAAGUGCAUUUGAAACUGCCUUACUCGAGUAUGGGAGAGGAGAGUGGAAUUCCUGGUGUAGAGGUGAAAUUCGUAGAUAUCAGGAGGAACACCGGUGGCGAAGGCGGCUUCCUGGACCGAUACUGACGCUGAGACGCGAAAGCGUGGGUAGCAAACAGG
RNAcentral lists this ribosomal RNA (253 nucleotides) under uncultured bacterium. RNAcentral's name for it is "partial 16S ribosomal RNA". It matches the Rfam family "Bacterial small subunit ribosomal RNA", at positions 524 to 776 of the family's 1533-position model. The record is from RNAcentral.